AUUGAACGCUAGCGGCAGGCCUAACACAUGCAAGUCGAGCGGAUGAAGGGAGCUUGCUCCUGGAUUCAGCGGCGGACGGGUGAGUAAUGCCUAGGAAUCUGCCUGGUAGUGGGGGAUAACGUCCGGAAACGGGCGCUAAUACCGCAUACGUCCUAAGGGAGAAAGUGGGGGAUCUUCGGACCUCACGCUAUCAGAUGAGCCUAGGUCGGAUUAGCUAGUUGGUGGGGUAAAGGCCUACCAAGGCGACGAUCCGUAACUGGUCUGAGAGGAUGAUCAGUCACACUGGAACUGAGACACGGUCCAGACUCCUACGGGAGGCAGCAGUGGGGAAUAUUGGACAAUGGGCGAAAGCCUGAUCCAGCCAUGCCGCGUGUGUGAAGAAGGUCUUCGGAUUGUAAAGCACUUUAAGUUGGGAGGAAGGGCAGUAAGUUAAUACCUUGCUGUUUUGACGUUACCAACAGAAUAAGCACAGGCUAACUUCGUG
Molecule: ribosomal RNA, 484 nt
Filed under: uncultured bacterium
Lineage: Bacteria
Description: partial 16S ribosomal RNA
Rfam family: Bacterial small subunit ribosomal RNA
Source: RNAcentral